GUUGGCGAAACUGGUGAAGUGAUCGACAUUUUUGUCCUCGUCGUCCAUAGCUUUGGGAUCGUACUCGAAGCUGCAACAAGAUUGAAGUACGAAGAUCCCGUGAAACGAAACAUCAACACGAACAAAAUUAUAAUAAUAUUUGACGGCACGAAAUUGGAUGACCCGGAAAGAGAACGGGGAGAAACUCAAGCUCGAGCUGAACAUAUGAGUCGAAUCUAAUCUGGACGUUUCAGCUCCUACAAAUCUUCAAGACUACGAAGAAAACCUCGCGGCACUUCGGGUCAGUGGGAAUUACCGAAACAUGAUUCACGCGCGUCGUAAGCUGCUCUAUAGCACACGGCGCGU
Dinoponera quadriceps is the source of this 345-nucleotide long non-coding RNA. RefSeq lists it as uncharacterized. The transcript has 3 exons. The record is from RefSeq and is a predicted model, not a curated record. NCBI's taxonomy places the organism in Eukaryota, Metazoa, Arthropoda, Insecta, Hymenoptera, Formicidae.